AGAAUGAACGCUGGCGGCGUGCUUUACACAUGCAAGUCGAGCGAGGCGGGGAGCAAUCCCUAGUCGAGCGGCGAACGGGUGAGUAACGCGUGGAUGACCUGCCUUGAGGUGGGGGAUAACUCGGGGAAACUCGAGCUAAUACCGCAUAGGAUCGUGAGAUCAAAGGGGCGCAAGUCCCGCCACAAGAGGGGUCCGCGUACGAUUAGCUAGUUGGUAGGGUAAUGGCCUACCAAGGCGACGAUCGUUAGCCGGCCUGAGAGGGUGAUCGGCCACACUGGAACUGAGACACGGUCCAGACUCCUACGGGAGGCAGCAGUGGGGAAUUUGGCGCAAUGGGCGAAAGCCUGACGCAGCAACGCCGCGUGGAGGAUGAAGGUCUUUGGAUCGUAAACUCCUGUCAGCAGGAAAAGGCACCUGGCCACACCAGGUGAUUGAUUGUACCUGCAGAGGAACGCCCCGGCUAACGUCUGUCGCCAGCAGCCGCGGUAAUCGUGA
Molecule: ribosomal RNA, 495 nt
Filed under: uncultured soil bacterium
Lineage: Bacteria
Description: bacterial SSU rRNA
Rfam family: Bacterial small subunit ribosomal RNA
Source: RNAcentral